CAGAGGGUGCGAGCGUUGUCCGGAAUCACUGGGCGUAAAGGGCCCGUAGGUGGCGGCCCAAGUCCAUGGUGAAAGCCCGAUGCUCAACAUCGAGUCGGCCACGGGAUACUGGGUUGCUCGAGCACUGUAGAGGCAGAUGGAAUUCCGGGUGUAGCGGUGGAAUGCGUAGAGGUCCGGAAGAACACCGGUGGCGAAGGCGGUCUGCUGGGCAGUAGCUGACACUGAGGCGCGACAGCGUGGGGGAGCAAACAGGAUUAGAUACCCUGGUAGUCCACGCCGUAAACGAUGGGCACUAGAUGCUUGGGGGAGCGACCCCCUGAGUGUCGUCGCUAACGCAGUAAGUGCCCCGCCUGGGGAGUACGGCCGCAAGGCUG
This 374-nucleotide ribosomal RNA is filed under the name uncultured organism. Its description in RNAcentral is "bacterial SSU rRNA". It matches the Rfam family "Bacterial small subunit ribosomal RNA", at positions 526 to 896 of the family's 1533-position model. The record is from RNAcentral.